AUGGACACCGGAGCUACUAACCACCUCACCGGCGAGAUGGGCAAGCUCUCUACUCAGGAGCCAUAUCGUGGUCAUGAUCAGGUGCACACCGCCAGUGGAGCAGGUAUGUGCAUCUCCCAUGUUGGUCAGGCUUCUCUCCUUGCUCACAAUUUUCGUAAACUACAUCUUUCCAAUGUCCUUCGUGUUCCCUCUGCUACGCGUAGUUUGUUGUCUAUUCCUCAACUUACACGUGAUAAUAAUGUCCUUGCUGAAUUUCAUCCUUUUCGUUUCUUUAUCAAGGAUCAGGACACGAGGGCCGUUCUGCUUAGCGGUCGUCUUCGCCAUGGCUUGUACGCACUUGAUGCGCUGCACACACCCUCCAUGCAGUCUUCUCCUGAGGCGUUCAGUGGUGUUCGUGUGUCGCACACUCACUGGCAUGCGCGCCUUGGUCAUCCUGCAGCUCUCAUAGUUUGUCAUGUGUUGCAUCGUUGUGAGCUACCAGUUGUGUCCAAUAAAAUUGUUGAAACUGUCUGUGAUGCCUGUCAGCAGGGCAAGAGUCACCAACUUCCGUUUUCAGAGUCUAGUCAUGUUGUGAAACAUCCUCUUGAGCUUGUGUUUGCUGAUGUCUGGGGUCAUGCCCAGACAUCCAUUAGUGGUCACAAUUAUCAUGUCAGUUUUAUUGAUGCUUAUAGUCGGUUUACUUGGCUAUAUCAUAUUAAG
RNAcentral lists this ribosomal RNA (699 nucleotides) under Triticum aestivum (bread wheat). RNAcentral's name for it is "partial small subunit ribosomal RNA". The record is from RNAcentral. Lineage: Eukaryota; Viridiplantae; Streptophyta; Magnoliopsida; Poales; Poaceae.